UUUUUUUUUUUUCAACGUUUAUUUAUUUUUGGGACAGAGAGAGACAGAGCAUGAACGGGGGAGGGGCAGAGAGAGAGGGAGACACAGAAUCGGAAACAGGCUCCAGGCUCUGAGCCAUCAGCCCAGAGCCCGACGCGGGGCUCCAACUCACGGACCGCGAGAUCGUGACCUGGCUGAAGUCGGACGCUUAACCGACUGCGCCACCCAGGCGCCCCAAGGACAACAGCUUUUUAAAGGAGUUAACUGUGCAGGUGGAGCAUCCUAGCUGGGUCCUGGCCAAGGUGUCUUCUCAAACAGAUGUGAGUUAGAGGCCCAGUCAGCCUUCUCUUUCCUUUCCUUUUACCUUUUUCUUGGCCAUUCCUUCUUUCUCUUUUUCUCAUUUUCUUCCUUCCUUCUCUCUCGCUUCCCAUCUCCCCCUUUCCCUCCAGGUCCCGCUCUCUUGGACAGCAGGAUCCUGGUGAGUUUGUUUUGUUUUUUUUUUUUCAUCAUCUCAUCUGGUAAAAUAUGGAUCAUUCACCUUCCAUUCUCGGGGUUAUUUUCUAAGCGUUUCUUCCACGUAGCUGUACAACCUUCUUCCUUGUUAAUGGCUACGUGAUGUGCCACCAAGUACUCUCACUUGCAUAACGGGCUCCCUGUUGUGGAACACUAGGUAGUUUCGAGGUUUUGUAUCCUUACAGGUGAAAGUAUUCGUUUUUUCUGGUCUGCCGUGUGUGGGGCUCGUGGGUCCAAGUUAAGUGGGGGCCUGGGAGGCACGAGGUAGAUGAUUGGCAUGGGGUGGUAGUUCGUCCAGGAGCUGCUUCCUGCCUGCCCUCAUCCCCAGGGCAGCUCGGAGUAUACAGCAGGUGCCUCAUGAAUGCUGCCUGAGGAUGCCUCUCGGCCUCUAUUCCUGCACCUGGCAUACUGCCUCAGUGCGCUCUCCAUUGAAGCGUCCUCUUUCCCACCUGGCCGUGACCUUCCAUAGCCUUUUUAUCUCUAUGUCCCCCGUGCCUGGCACCAGGAAGCCCCUCAGGAAUGGAAGGGAAGGAAACAAAGUAAACGAAGAGGAAGCCAGAGAAUGCUCACCUACUCUGGCCACCCCUCAUUAAUAGGGACUGGGAUUGCCGUGGGACAUUAGUGACAGAACAUGUUGACAUUGUGUAAUUUAUUAGCCUGAACUAUACAAAUUAUACCUUCCCCCAGGAUGCCUGCGACGAGAAGCUGCUUUUCAUGAGUUUAUCCUGGGGACUCGAAUAAAUAAGCAGAGAAACAAAAAAACCUCAUGAAUUUUUUAAAGAGCUUAUUGGAAUCAGGAGAAAACCUGGUGUUCCGGGUGCAGAAUUUCCUGGAUCCGUUGGGGACGGCUCUGCGGGUUGGGUUUAACCAUCUCCCUUGUCUUUUAUCCUGGGACCGGUGCUCACCUAAGACAUGCUCCUCUGAAGGCAGGGAACAGAAAUUUCAAGAGAGGCGAGUGAAAACUCAGGCCCCGCCUAAGGCUUGCGCUCAGAACUGGCCCACAGUUAUCUCAAAAUAUCCCAUCGGCCAAAGCUAGUCACACGGCCCAGCCCAAUAGCACGGGUAGAGAAAGGCGGAAGAAUUGUGUCACUCCCACAGCUGCCAGGAUUCCUAGCGUGGCUGCUGGCCAUAUGAUUCCACCACCUACCCAACAUUGCCUUCCGUAUUUCACACAGAAGGCUGUCUCCAAUCACAGAGCAUCUUAGAGAUUGGUGACUGUCCAUAGGACACUGUAUGUUUUGUAUCAGUGGGGUUCUGACGAGGUAGUCUCUAGCUGAAUUUCCGGACCAAGAUUAAUUUGCUGCUGGAAUGUGAAGACAGCCACCCUCACACGCCCACCGCGGGUCCAGCGGGAGGGAAAAUAAGGAGACAGCCCCCGUGUUGGAUAAUGACCGCCCAAAUUCCAAUACUCAGGGCCCGACAUUGCCCGUUCAGUUUCCUCUGGCUGAAAUUCUUGGUUGUUCCGCUGCUAAAACCAGGGUGGCUAUUUACUCUGGGCACCAAUGGCUGUUCUUAGCCAUAUUGAUAAACAAGGCUUCCAAAAUCAUCUCAAUACCAGGAACAGUUCAUUUAAAACAGAAGCAGCAACACCACCAAUGACAAAAUCGACAGGUCAGUCCUGUGGUGUCCACCCUCGCCCAGGGGAGCCUGGUGAUGAGUUGAGGAGUAUUUUUGGACACAGACAACAGCAGGCCUGGCCCAGAUCCACUCAUUCCUUCAGUAGAGCUUCCCAGGGAGUUCCACUUAUUUCCCAAUUUGUUCCAGCCACAUCACCUUUUGUGGCUUCGUUUGGGCAUUGAGGUCAUCGAGAGAUGACUGACUUGGGCAAAGCAGAGAGUAGGGGGAGGAAAGAUUCUUCACUUACUCACCCACUCACUAAUUGCUGAGUGUCUUCAGGGUCCUGAGCUGGGGGUUCAAAGCUGAAGGAAGCAGAAGGUCCACUGUGCUGGCCGUUUGGCGCGGCAGAUCCUCCUUCCACGUGUCUUUUUUAGGGUAGAUGGUUGGCUUCCCAUCAGCCCCCGCGCGGCAGAUGAUUGGUUCAAGCUAAUCCUGGCCGUGCGAUUCUCUUGCGGAUAAUUGGUUGAGGGGUUAGCAUGUGACCCAGUUCUGCCCAAUGAGAAGUGAGGGAGAAAUCUGUCCGUGGCCUUUGAGAAACUUUCCCUCACGACUAAGAAGGAGCUGGAGGAAGGGGUGGGUGCUGCUCCCCAGCGUUUGCAGUAUGUGCAGGUGUGACAGCCGCACUUUUGACAGCCAUCUUGCCACGUGCUGCAAUGUAAGAGAUGAAACUCGCUCUGGCAAUGGCAGAAUGGAGAGAUGGGGACUAUAUCCUCCCUGAUAUCAUUGAGUUGCUAAGUCCUUUUUUUUUUUUUUUUAAUGUUCUUAUUUAUUUUUGAAGGACACAGAGAGACAGAGCAUGAGCAGGGGAGGAGCAGAGAGAGAGGGAGACACAGAAUCCGAAGCAGGCUCCAGGCUCCAAGCCGUCAGCACAGAGCCCGACGCGGGGCUCGAACUCACGAACCGUGAGACCAUGACCUGAGCCGAAGUCGGCCGCCCAACCGACUGAGCCACCCAGGCGCCCCGAGCUGCCAAGUCUUUAAGUGCAAAGGCCACUCUAUCCUUGGACUUCCCACUCUGCGGGCAGCUGCCAUUAAGAAGUGGAAUCUGUUUCCUUAAAAGCCCUUGAACCUGGGCUAGCCCUGGCACUUGUUUUGACUUCCAGCAUAUGGCAGAAGUGGAUAUGGUGGCUCCCAGCACGGGGGUCACAAGGACUGGGAUACUUCCCACCCUCUGGUUUGGAAUCUUGACCGACCACCAUGAGGACCAGCCUGAGCUAGACUUCUAGAGGAUGGGAGACCCCCGGGUGACCCCCAAGUAUGUAAGAAAGCUCAACCCAGCCCAGCCAGCGGAGCCACCGACACGACUCCACCUGUCCUCGGACCCAUCAGUGAGCCCAGCUGGGGCCAGAAGAACCUCCGGCUGACCUGCAGACAGUGAGCAAAAUAAUCGUUUAUGGUUUUAAGCCAGGAGCUUUGGAGUAGUUCGUUAGGCGGCAAUAGCUAACCGAUAACAGUGUAUGUGUGAUAUAAUGAUGUAAGAAUAAUAGAAUUGUAGGAAGAACGAUCACAUAACCACAUCGCCAAGGACUGUGCAGGUGAUGCUCCCUGUCUCUAUUUGUAUCGGUAUUUAAUGAUCACAACGACCCAUCUCAUCCGACGGGGGAGGGAACUCAGGCUUGGUACAGGUUUGUCUUAAUUGUCUGUCGUCAGAGGCCAGGAUUGGAACUUAGCUCUCUCUGACUCCAGAGUUUGCCUUGUACUGUCUCCUAAGGGCACCGACUAAUCCACAGAGAAGCUGUUCCCAGGGCAAGGCCAGGUUCCCCAGGCGGCCCGGAAGGCCCCCCACCCCAUGACCUAGCCCCCCGGUUCCCCCUUUUGAUGUUUCUCCAAAACCAUCCAUACCUUUGCCCAAGCCAUUCUCUCUCCCUGGGGUUGACCUUCCUUUCUUUUCUACCCAAAAAAACUCUUAUGCGACCUUCAAGACCCAGCUCUGUCUCACUCUUAUUGACUCUUAGAUACAAGUCAUAAAAAGUCCCUUUUUCAAAUAGGCACAGCCCCGAAGCACAGUUGAUGUCCCACAUGAAUGGAACUCCAGAGGUGAGGGAGGAAGGAGAGUCCCAGUGUGGUUGAGACAGCUGUUCUGUGGUGUUCUCGAGGGUCCCCCAUCCCUGCCAUGUCUUUGCUCUGUCAGCUGCCCUCACAGCGGGUUGCAGGAGAGCGGCUGUAGACCUGGCUUUGCAUCCAGACCCAGCCACGUCCAGAGAAAUCAGAGGGUUAUUUCUUUUUAACCUUGAGUCUCAUUUUGAGAGUCAAGGAGGCCCCUCUGUGCAGCCUCCAGGCAGAUUUCCCUCAAGUCUCCUUGGCCAGGACUGGGUCAUGUGUCCUUCUCCGAGCCAAUCGCUGGCAGGAAUAGGAUUGUAUCGCUAUCAUUGACUUUGACACAUCCAGUCAUCCCUGAUGGGUCAACCACCAUGGCCAUGAGCCAUGUCCUCAGGAAGUUGCCUUUGACUCUUGAGGCUGGAGCAGGUGCCUCCAUUGGGGUUCUCAGAGCUCGCCAACCUUGCCCAUUAUAACACAGCAGGGCCCCUAGAACGUGGCCUCCUCCAGCACAGCUGGGGUCGCCGUGUGUUACAGGGGCUGCUUCUUUGGUAAGGCAUCCCCUCUAACUUAGCUCUAUCAUCCUCAUCCGUUGUCUCCUGCACAACCCCCCCCCCCCAAUGCUCCCACACUUAGAAUUACUUACCCGACAUCCUGCGCCAAAUAUGAACUUCAUGACAGCAGGUGUUGUUACCGCCUCCUUUGCUGUAUUGUCAGCCCCCAGCAGAGUCCCUGUCCCACUGAAGUGCCCAAUAAAUAUUUGUUUUGCCCGUGGCUUAUUUGCUAAGACUGGAACUCUGGAUCAAUGCAGGAGAAGGAGCUGCAAGAGAAAUAUUGGGGUGUCAUCUUCAAGGGCACCUUUGUGCAGAUUUCCACCAGGGAUGGCUUGAGCCUCAGCUGGAUGCCCACUGAGGCUUCACCAGCCAUGAGGCACCAUCACUUUCAUGGCCCCGAAUAAUAGUCAACAACUGCGGGUGUACAUGGCUCACAAAGGGUCUGCCCACGUGUUAGCCCUCUGAUCCUUAGGGCAACUCCCAGAGCCA
Long non-coding RNA from Acinonyx jubatus (cheetah), 5188 nucleotides. RefSeq lists it as uncharacterized. The transcript is spliced from 3 exons. Lineage: Eukaryota; Metazoa; Chordata; Mammalia; Carnivora; Felidae. The record is from RefSeq and is a predicted model, not a curated record.